AAAUUAUUUUUUUUAUUAUAAUUCAGUUCAUGAACUACAAUUAUUUUUGGAUACAUGUACCAUGCAAUUUAAUGUAUGAUUAUUUUGUAUUUAUUUGCACUAAAGUUGUAAACUUGUAAUACAUAAGUAUAUACUCUCUAAGUUGAGUAUAAAUGUAUUCAUACCUACAGGAAAUGCAUGCAAUUUCCUCAGAUUUUACAUUAAAGCUUAAUUACUUUUUUUUAGACAAAGAAUAUAAAUAUUUUAAUUUUUAGUGAAAGUAAAUUUUUCCCUUUAUUUUUAAUAUUAACUUCAAAGAUUUAAGUGGCUGGUAUUUUAUCCUACAGAGAGUAAGUCUUCCAUUUUCACAGAAAUAUUGUUUCAAAUUGCUGACUCCUAGAUUGCAGCACUCACACAUAAUUCUUGCCUGUCCUGAUAUCCUCUGUUCCUACAAUGUCCACUGUCAAACUUUUUACAGAAAACUGGAAGGUGUUCACUGAAAUGCUGUGCUGGGAUGUUGGAAGACUGUGCAGUAGUUCCGGUUACAAAUGAGGAUGGAUCCAUCCUGAUCCAAGAGGUUCCUGUUAUAUACUCUGCCAUGCGGCUAGAGGCCUUGCAUUGUGACAUGGCUGUUACCGCUGAUGUUAUACACAACACACCCCUGCACUUCAUGCUUGUGAGUCACCACUGCAGUCAGUUAUGAGUUAGAACAUUAUUUUUUGACCUGCCAACUGUUCCACUGUUCCCAGGCUGGGAACCUGACAGCCUUUUGCUGUGUCUUACUGUCAUGCAAAGAAAAUAUGACUAUUAUCCACAAAUCAAAUAUUUAAUGAUUAUAAUGUUUUCAGUUU
This is a long non-coding RNA of Cryptotermes secundus, 830 nucleotides long. RefSeq lists it as uncharacterized. The record is from RefSeq and is a predicted model, not a curated record. The transcript has 2 exons. NCBI's taxonomy places the organism in Eukaryota, Metazoa, Arthropoda, Insecta, Blattodea, Kalotermitidae.